GACCUAUCAGCUUUCGACGGUAGUGUAUUGGACUACCGUGGCAGUGACGGGUAACGGGGAAUUAGGGUUCGAUUCCGGAGAGGGAGCCUGAGAAACGGCUACCACAUCUAAGGAAGGCAGCAGGCGCGCAAAUUACCCAAUCCUGACUCAGGGAGGUAGUGACAAGAAAUAACAACACUGGAAAUUUUAUUUCUAGUGAUUGGAAUGAUGGGAAUCUAAACCCCUUUCAGAGUAACAAUUGGAGGGCAAGUCUGGUGCCAGCAGCCGCGGUAAUUCCAGCCCCAAUAGCGUAUAUUAAAGUUGUUGCAGUUAAAAAGCUCGUAGUUGGAUAUCUGCUGGAAGCAAUCAGUCCGCCCUAUUUGUAGGGUGUGCACUUGAUGAAUUCUGGCAUCUAUGUCCCGAUAAUAUAACGUGGAGGUCGUCCUCCCGUUUAUUGGGAACAUACUGUUUCUUUGAGAAAAUUAGAGUGUUUGAAGCAGGCUAAUUGCCUUGAAUACUGCAGC
RNAcentral lists this ribosomal RNA (503 nucleotides) under Sarcocystis sp. RNAcentral's name for it is "SSU rRNA". It matches the Rfam family "Eukaryotic small subunit ribosomal RNA", at positions 309 to 808 of the family's 1831-position model. The record is from RNAcentral. Lineage: Eukaryota; Apicomplexa; Conoidasida; Eucoccidiorida; Sarcocystidae.